This is a long non-coding RNA of Heterocephalus glaber (naked mole-rat), 351 nucleotides long. Lineage: Eukaryota; Metazoa; Chordata; Mammalia; Rodentia; Bathyergidae. The record is from Ensembl.
CUGGGGGAGGAGAGGCAUUUUGUAUUUUGAAGAUGAUGGAAAAGAGAAAUACCUUACAUUGAGAAGUGAAACUCUGGCCCGAACUUAACAUAGGCAGAGUUGGUUGCUACGUUUGCAUAUGUGACGUGAAUACCAGAGCCUGACUUGAAGUGCAGUGGCCUGGCUCAUCCUUGAAAGCAGGCUUGACACUCACCUCUGCAUCUCAGCUGACAGCCACGGAGCAGUGCUUGCUUCACAACAGAUUGAUGAGGCUGGGACUGCCUAGCUCGGGAGAUCCGUGCCCAAGACCAGACAGCCUCAGUCCUCAUCACUGCUGCCGCCGCCCAGGGACUUCAUGGUGCUGACCGGAGG